RNAcentral lists this ribosomal RNA (1368 nucleotides) under human gut metagenome. RNAcentral describes it as "bacterial SSU rRNA". It matches the Rfam family "Bacterial small subunit ribosomal RNA", at positions 29 to 1401 of the family's 1533-position model. The record is from RNAcentral.
AUGAACGCUAGCGGCGUUAACACAUGCAAGUCGAGGGGCAAGUUUGCUUGCAAACUGCGACCGGCGCACGGGUGAGUAACACGUGGGCAACCUGCCCUGAAGUGGGGGAUAACAUCUGGAAACAGGUGCUAAUACCGCAUAACAACGAAACCACAUGGUUUUCGUUCAAAGAUGUUCGUAUCACUUCAGGAUGGGCCCGCGGUGCAUUAGCUAGUUGGUAAGGUAACGGCUUACCAAGGCAAUGAUGCAUAGCCGAGUUGAGAGACUGAUCGGCCACAAUGGAACUGAGACACGGUCCAAACUCCUACGGGAGGCAGCAGUGGGGAAUCUUCCGCAAUGGACGAAAGUCUGACGGAGCAACGCCGCGUGAGUGAAGAAGGCUUUCGGGUUGUAAAGCUCUGUUGUUGGAGAAGAAUGGUCGGGAAUAGUGAGAAGGAUUGACGGUACCGGAAUAGAAAGCCACGGCUAACUACGUGCCAGCAGCCGCGGUAAUACGUAGGUGGCGAGCGUUAUCCGGAUUUACUGGGCGUAAAGGGAGCGUAGGCGGAUGAUUAAGUCUGAUGUGAAAGCCCUCGGCUUAACCGAGGAAGUGCAUCGGAAACUGGGAAACUAGAGUGCAGGAGAGGAAAGUGGAAUUCCUAGUGUAGCGGUGAAAUGCGUAGAUAUAUGGAAGAACACCAGUGGCGAAGGCGGCUGUCUGGUCUGUAACUGACGCUGAGGCUCGAAAGCAUGGGUAGCGAACAGGAUUAGAUACCCUGGUAGUCCAUGCCGUAAACGAUGAAUACUAGGUGUGGGGGGUUUCCGCCCUUCAGUGCUGCAGUUAACGCAUUAAGCAUUCCGCCUGGGGAGUACGACCGCAAGGUUGAAACUCAAAGGAAUUGACGGGGGCCCGCACAAGCGGUGGAGCAUGUGGUUUAAUUCGAAGCUACGCGAAGAACCUUACCAGGUCUUGACAUCUUGCGCCAACCUCAGAGAUGAGGCGUUCCCUUCGGGGACGCAAAGACAGGUGGUGCAUGGUCGUCGUCAGCUCGUGCCGUGAGAUGUUGGGUUAAGUCCCGCAACGAGCGCAACCCUUGUUACUAGUUGCCAGCAUUCAGUUGGGCACUCUAGUGAGACUGCCGGUGACAAACCGGAGGAAGGUGGGGACGACGUCAGAUCAUCAUGCCCCUUAUGACCUGGGCUACACACGUGCUACAAUGGCCGGUACAACGAGCAGCUAACCCGCGAGGGUGUGCAAAUCUCUUAAAGCCGGUCUCAGUUCGGACUGCAGUCUGCAACUCGACUGCACGAAGUCGGAAUCGCUAGUAAUCGCGGAUCAGCAUGCCGCGGUGAAUACGUUCCCGGGCCUUGCACACACCGCCCGUCCAA